GACGAACGCUGGCGGCGUGCUUAACACAUGCAAGUCGAACGGAAAGGCCCUGCUUUUGUGGGGUGCUCGAGUGGCGAACGGGUGAGUAACACGUGAGUAACCUGCCCUUGACUUUGGGAUAACUUCAGGAAACUGGGGCUAAUACCGGAUAGGAGCUCCUGCCGCAUGGUGGGGGUUGGAAAGUUUCGGCGGUUGGGGAUGGACUCGCGGCUUAUCAGCUUGUUGGUGGGGUAGUGGCUUACCAAGGCUUUGACGGGUAGCCGGCCUGAGAGGGUGACCGGCCACAUUGGGACUGAGAUACGGCCCAGACUCCUACGGGAGGCAGCAGUGGGGAAUAUUGCUCAAUGGGCGGAAGCCUGAUGCAGCAACGCCGCGUGCGGGAUGACGGCCUUCGGGUUGUAAACCGCUUUCGCCUGUGACGAAGCGUGAGUGACGGUAAUGGGUAAAGAAGCACCGGCUAACUACGUG
Molecule: ribosomal RNA, 468 nt
Filed under: uncultured bacterium
Lineage: Bacteria
Description: partial 16S ribosomal RNA
Rfam family: Bacterial small subunit ribosomal RNA
Source: RNAcentral